CAGGACAUUGCCAUUGUUGAUGGUGUGACAGCGCUAGGCUUCUGCGGCCGGGGCUAUUGUGCGAUGAGCGUGGUGGCACGAUGGUGGAGAAGAUGAAGGCGUCACAAUGACUUCGAACCCUUGCGCGAGAAGGAUACGCGAUUCUGGGUGCAGGGGAGGUUUUGAUGAGGAAAUGGUGGGUGUGGCGUCGUCGGCGGCGCCGAGACAGGAGGAGUUGGUGGCGCGGUGGCUGGGUUCGAAGAAGUGACUGGCGGUGCUCAAGGGAGGCGACCCCAACCCUUUUCAUGGCAAAAAUUUCCAAGCAGGUUCCCAAAUUAUGAAAUCAAGGGUUUUUGAAAUUCAACUAUCACAUUCUUAUACAUAUACCUACACACUUGCAAUUCAAUUAAUAGUGCAUUUUAUGUGUUAUAAUAAACCUUUUGUUAAUUUUUAAUGAAGAAAGCAAUGAUAAAAUUAUAACAUAGUUGUAACUAUUUCC
Molecule: long non-coding RNA, 478 nt
Filed under: Vigna radiata
Lineage: Eukaryota; Viridiplantae; Streptophyta; Magnoliopsida; Fabales; Fabaceae
Description: long non-coding RNA (VRAD_LNC005848)
Source: RNAcentral